CAGACAGUGAGAACAAGCAGUUGGAGACACUGUUCUCUAAAAGUAUUUUCCAAACCAGUACAUUUUUUUCCUUUUUCUUUUUCCUUUUUCAAUUAAAGGAAAGGGGGGGUUAUUAAGCAAGACAGAUACAAAGAGCACUGUUUAGAUAUCUCUACUGAAACUAUUUCUCUCGGCUGAAAGUUGGCACUCACUGCUCUGGAUUCCAGUGAUUCAUUUUUAUGGCUAAAUAAAUGAGGAAGCCAUCUUGUUUUCCACAUCACUGGCUCCAGCAUGCUAUAGAAGAUCACCAUGACAACAGGAGCUGGUUUGCCUGGUGUGAAGACAACAGUGUAGGCCCCAUUUCCUAAAUGCAUGUUUCUACAAAAGUUGAAUCACCAAUUAAAAGACUCUUUUCUAUCCUGGGGGCUUCAGAAAUGCAAAUGGUGUUGGGGAGACAGGCUGGUCAGCUGCUACACCUAGUAACUCCUUCUGAC
Heterocephalus glaber (naked mole-rat) is the source of this 473-nucleotide long non-coding RNA. The record is from Ensembl. Lineage: Eukaryota; Metazoa; Chordata; Mammalia; Rodentia; Bathyergidae.